AAGGAUGUGGCGUUGCGAAGACAACCAGGAUGUUGGCUUAGAAGCAGCCAUCAUUGAAAGAGUGCGUAACAGCUCACUGGUCGAGUGACGCUGCGCCGAAAAUAAGCGGGGCUAAACACGCCACCGAAGCCGCGGCUGACGCGCGUGGGUGCGCGUUGGGGUAGGGGAGCGUUCCGUUCAGCGGCGAAGGCGGACCGGAAGGACCGCUGGAGCGGACGGAAGUGAGAAUGCCGGUAUGAGUAACGAAAAGACGGGUGAGUUCCUGGGGAAGGGUCGUCCGCCCAGGGUGAGUCGGGGCCUAAGGUGAGGCCGAGAGGCGUAGCCGAAGGGAAACAGGUGGAGAAUCCUGUACCGCCGGCCGGCCGUUUGAGCGAAGGGGGGACGCCGCGAGGAAGGGACGCGGGCGACUGGAAGGGCCCGUCCAAACCGCAAGGCAGGCGCAUAGGCAAAUCCGUGCGCGGGAUGCCGGGCGGUGAAGGGGAGGGGCGGUAUAUGCCCCGAAGGUCUCGGGUGAGCGGCCGAGAAAAGCC
This 530-nucleotide ribosomal RNA is filed under the name Candidatus Reconcilbacillus cellulovorans. Its description in RNAcentral is "bacterial LSU rRNA". It matches the Rfam family "Bacterial large subunit ribosomal RNA", at positions 1069 to 1619 of the family's 2925-position model. Lineage: Bacteria; Bacillati; Bacillota; Bacilli; Caryophanales; Paenibacillaceae. The record is from RNAcentral.